CGUAGUCCGAGCGAAUAGUUUAGAGUUGCCUUAUCGAAAUUGUAGAUUCGUAGACAUCCGUGUUUUAGUCUGUUUUCUUUUCUUUUUAAUCAAUCUAUUAAAAUAUUCGAUAACAAGGACUCGUAGUCCUCGUUAAACAACCGCGUUUUUACGAAAGCCCGGUAUCCAACAUCGCACUACUUUCCCCGUUAAUAUUCAUAACGAUAAACACUUCCGGUUCUCCUAAGUCUCGCGAAAUCUCCGUAAAAAGCGAGAAAGGUUCGAGAAACAAAGGUACCGGAUAAAGCAACGUUUUAACAGAUGGAAACGCCGCCCUCCGUUUCCCAGAUAGACGAUCGUGAAGAGCCCCGAGCCCGCGAAGGGAUAUUUUUCUGUAACGGGCAUCGGCAGAUCGAUAUCGUCCGGUUACAUGCCCGUAGCAACUUGUCCGCGAAUAAUUCCCUUAUCUGUACCGCGGCGGGCCCCUGCGCCGCCGCCGCCGCCGCGUAAAUAUUUGUUUCCGAGCAUUCCACUUCUCACCUUCGCAGCGGGUGCGCCUUCGUCGAAACCGAAAUUUCCCCGGCUACCUCGUUUGCAUUAAUUAUACUUCGCGUACUCCGUCUUGCGCGUAAUUGCGGAUGCACACGCACGCUAUGUGUGCAGUGACCAGUGACACAUGCGCGGAAUAAUAGCACACAAACGAAGGCGAGGUAUACACAAACGCGGACUUACGCGGCCGACGUACUGUAACGGGCAAAAGUCUUGGGGUAUUUACAUCUUUACUUUCGAUUUAAUUUAUGGAGCUUAUUUUUCGCAAUAUUAUCGCACGAGGUACCCUCUGGAAAUUGAUAAAAAUAGGAUUGAUUCGAAGGAAAAUUUAAGGGUGUUUAUCACUUUGGAAAUUUAAAAUUUACAGCUUAAUACACAUCUGUGUGAAAUGUGGCUUCAAUGUACCGUUUAGUUUGUUCACAGCUACUAGGUUGCAUAAAAUAAUACUAAAAAUCCUAAUUGCAACUGUAAUCGUAUCGAUAACUCGUUUUCUUGAUUAACACUUUCGCUGCGGACGAAAAUAAGUAGCCGUUCGCUAGGAGCUGCAAUUAUAUUUUUUUUUUAAUGAAGAAUUUUUUACUAAUGUGAUUAUCAAUCUAAUAUGAUUAUUUUGAAAAAUAUCAUUUUGAAAUAAUAUGAUUGCCGAACAAAAAAAAUGAAAACAACCAUAUAUAUUUGCACACGUGUUGGGCACAUGUGCGUCAUUUGCAGCGAAAGUGUUGAAAAUCGUAAUCAAAUAAUAAUUUAAAAAUCUUAUCAUAGAAACUAUAUCCUUAUUAAUACUUUCUGUAUUUGAGUUUCGUUUCGACUAGCAGAAAAGACCAUCGUAAUACUUGGUGCUCGAAUUUUUUUGAAAGCUUCCACGCGAUUUUUUAAUUAUUUUCGUAUCAUUUCUUUCAAUCGUUUCGUUGCGAAGCUCAAUACCAAAUAUACGUCGAUUUAUUAACAUUUAUUGGAGAGUAACGCGAGUUUUAUAUAUGGUGGUGCGAGACUUUUGCGUAGUACUGUAUGACACGGAACCAGAACACGUCCAAGCAACGUACGCGUUUAUCGUUCGAGCAGCAGAUAUAUAUCGGGUUAUAUCAAUCUUGCUAAGUGAGCAAUGCAUAUGCUUACGGCGCUCGGAAAGUUUUCGACAAGCCCGAGCGUGGGCGUAGAAUGCCCACUGAGCAUCGUUCUUUUUAUGCAUAUCGUAUGGAUAUGUAUGCACACGUAUUCACCCACCGGCCGGAUAUAAACACCUGCCCGUCGUGCUCGCCUUUACGGACCCUGCCCUUUCCCCGUACCACGUGCGAAAGAGGGGGCGCCCUUUAAAUUGCGAACGGGGGAGGGCUGGAUAUUUAUUGCCAAAGGUGGCACCGACGAGCGUUUAUGAUCCUCGGGGAAUUAACGAUACCAAUUAGCCACGGACAAAAAGUCGACAUUGUCGCGCUAUCUUGCACCUGAGGACGAUUACGUCGCUUGCAACCUUGUCGUCUGAAUCACGGAAGAACGAUCAGCCGUCUUUUCGUCGAGCGAAGCACAUAACGGAUCCCCAUUAGCCGAUGGUCCGCGAGGAUACAAAAAACCUCAUCCGCGUUUUGAAAAGCACUCACCUCCUGAGCAGCCAAUCUUAUCUGAUGCCGAGAGCUGAUUGAUAUCGCGAUAUAGCCUCGAGAGGGUGGUUCGAGUCUCAUCCACCAUAAACCGCCCCCAUCGUCAGCUUUAUGAACUGGCAACGGGGGCGGUAAGGGCGGCGCUGAACAUUUAGUGCCUUCGAGGUGGUUGACGAUUUCUUUGGAAGCUGAACGACAUCUUGUAUUAAACGAAGUCUACGGAAGGGAUUAACUUCUCGAAGGGAUCGCGUCACGCGGCCGUUUAUUUACAAAUCUUAUAUUGGACUAGCUUUCAUCCGGUUCUGAAGUGCCAUGGAAAUAAAGCUUAAUUCGUUGUUUGCUUCGCGACGAGUUUGGCGUCGGCACACGUGCCGUGUCAUGCGACGAGCGAGCGCGACGCGGUGUCAUACGCAAGCACUCAAACGACAAAGGAAAAUUUAAAUUCGGACACCAGCCACGUGAACUCCUUCCCAGUCGAAAUCCUUUUAUAUCGUAUUUAACGCAAAUAUAUCGAGAAACGUCGAAUAGACUGCCAAGGCAUCCUC
Molecule: long non-coding RNA, 2668 nt
Organism: Hylaeus volcanicus
Lineage: Eukaryota; Metazoa; Arthropoda; Insecta; Hymenoptera; Colletidae
Exons: 3
Source: RefSeq, a predicted model, not a curated record